RNAcentral lists this ribosomal RNA (460 nucleotides) under uncultured bacterium. RNAcentral's name for it is "partial 16S ribosomal RNA". It matches the Rfam family "Bacterial small subunit ribosomal RNA", at positions 338 to 795 of the family's 1533-position model. The record is from RNAcentral.
CCUACGGGUGGCAGCAGUGAGGAAUAUUGGUCAAUGGACGAGAGUCUGAACCAGCCAAGUAGCGUGAAGGAUGACUGCCCUAUGGGUUGUAAACUUCUUUUAUAUGGGAAUAAAAUGUUCCACGUGUGGGAUUUUGUAUGUACCAUAUGAAUAAGGAUCGGCUAACUCCGUGCCAGCAGCCGCGGUAAUACUGAGGAUCCGAUCGUUAUCCGGAUUUAUUGGGUUUAAAGGGAGCGUCGGUGGAUUGUUAAGUCAGUUGUGAAAGUUUGCGGCUCAACCGUAAAAUUGCAGUUGAAACUGGCAGUCUUGAGUACAGUAGAGGUGGGCGGAAUGCGUGGUGUAGCGGUGAAAUGCUUAGAUAUCACGAAGAACUCCGAUUGCGAAGGCAGUUCACUGGACUGCAACUGACACUGAGGCUCGAAAGUGUGGGUAUCAAACAGGAUUAGAUACCCGGGUAGUC